Molecule: ribosomal RNA, 253 nt
Filed under: uncultured bacterium
Lineage: Bacteria
Description: partial 16S ribosomal RNA
Rfam family: Bacterial small subunit ribosomal RNA
Source: RNAcentral
UACAGAGGUCCCAAGCGUUGUCCGGAUUUAUUGGGCGUAAAGAGCUCGUAGGCGGCUUGUCGCGUCGUCCGUGAAAACCUGCAGCUCAACUGCAGGCUUGCGGUCGAUACGGGCAGGCUAGAGUUCGGUAGGGGAGACUGGAAUUCCUGGUGUAGCGGUGAGAUGCGCAGAUAUCAGGAGGAACACCGGUGGCGAAGGCGGGUCUCUGGGCCGAUACUGACGCUGAGGAGCGAAAGCGUGGGGAGCGAACAGG